AAGAUUGAUUUAGAAAUUAAGCAACAGAAUUCUCCAUGGAUCUAAGAAAAAUUGACUAAAAUAUUUAAUCUGUCUGAAUUUUGUUUGCAAAAUAGAAACAGACAAAUACACUUGACCCCCUUUAAAAUUCUAGGAUCAAAAAAUUGUGUUAUAACUUUUCCCCAUUGAUGCCCUAUUCAUUGCACACAUUUUUUGAAGUUCUUCUUAUAAAUGCAGAACUUUAAACUAACAAAAGUAAAAUAUUAAAAGUGUUGAAUUACCAGCCAUAACAGUGAUACAACUUCUGUUGACAUACAGAAAGUAAGAACUAUUUCUUUCUCCUUUACUUCUUUAUUGGAAUUAAAACUUCAUCUUCAUAAUCUUUCUGAACCUCAAUUUCCUCAUCUAUGAAAGAAAGGCUUAAAAACAGAAGAUGAUCUCGAGGGUUUCUACAGCACAAAUAGUCUGUGAUUCUAUGAGAUUUCAGAAAGGAAGUAAAGAAUCAAUUGCUGCCAGGUCCAGUGGUGGUGCACACCUGUAAUCCCAGCAAUUUGGGAGGCUGAGGCAGGAGGAUCACAAGUUCAAGGCCAAGCUUGGCAACUAAGCAAAACUGUCUCAAAAUUUUUUUAAAAAGGGGGGGG
RNAcentral lists this long non-coding RNA (620 nucleotides) under Marmota monax (woodchuck). Lineage: Eukaryota; Metazoa; Chordata; Mammalia; Rodentia; Sciuridae. The record is from RNAcentral.